Long non-coding RNA from Prunus mume (Japanese apricot), 1775 nucleotides. RefSeq lists it as uncharacterized. The record is from RefSeq and is a predicted model, not a curated record. NCBI's taxonomy places the organism in Eukaryota, Viridiplantae, Streptophyta, Magnoliopsida, Rosales, Rosaceae.
GUCAGGUCUGAGCAUCUGUACUUUUAAGUUGUUUAUUAACCUUCCUUGAUCUAUGAUUUUGUUUAUUCCUUUUUUCACAUUGCCAUUGGUACUAUUUUAUGCAUAAAUUUCAUGCAAAUAUAGUUGGUUUUAGAGAAUGUCAUAUGCAUUCUUUAUGAAGUUUUGAUUUUUUUUGCUUAUUAUUGUCAAAUAAGCAUCAUCUAAAAAUCAGGAGACGCGGAUCCUUAUACCUAGUCUCAUGUCUGCUUUUAUAUGGUGCUGAGUCUAUAAUGUGGUGUCCUCUCUCUCUCUCUCUCUCUCUCUCUCUCUCUCUCUCUCUGUGUUUAUAUAUUAGAUGACUUCAUAUUGCCUCUAAUGAUGAUGAUUGAAAAAUAACUUUCGUUCUUCCGAGAUGCACCAUGCGGAAAAAUUUGGAGACCUGAACUGAAGAGGCUUGUUUUUGUGUUUACAGCAUACAUGUACUAUAUACUUUGUCUAUAAUUGAAAAUAUUUUAUCUUUUUUGGUGGGUUUAAGUUUUUUUUUGCUUGUUAUUUUCAAGUAAGAAUCAACUAACAAUCAGGGGAUGUAGCUCUUUUUAAAUUAUAACAAGUUUCAUAUCUGCUCAUGGAUGGUGCUAAAUCUAUCCAUCUUGGGCUAGCAGUGUCCUGUUCUUUGUCUCUCUGCUUUAUCAUUUGUAUAUUAAAUGACUUUAUUUUGCCUCUGAUGAUGAUCAAUAAAUAACUUUCGUUCUUCCGAGAUGCUCCAUGCGGAAAAAAUUUGGAGACCUGAACUGAAGAGGAUUUUUUUUUGGCUGUUGUUGUGUAUUUACACUAUAUAUAUGUAUAUACAAUUAUGUCUUUGAAUACAUACUGUACUUGAACAUAUUUCGUGUCCUUUUUGCGUAUGUUGUUUAGACUAUUAAGGUUCUUUAGAGGUAUUUUAUAUUUUUAAUGGAAUAUUCGAUAUUUUUAAUUAACAACUUCAAAAGUAGUGUAGUUAAACUGAUCGGGUGUCAAUUUGGUUUGUUAAAGUUUUAGCAUGGGGUCACAAGCUUGUGUCCACCAUUUGUUACUUUGAGUGUUAGGGUUCGAUUGACAAAUAAUAUCCAGUAAAGUUCACAGUGAAGAGUUCUCUUCUCAUUAGUGCAAGGUAGAUUACUUUAUAGACUUUUUUGCAAUAGUAUUUGCUACAUUGAAAUUAUUGUCUUACACCCUCAUAGUCAGACUUCAACUUUUGGAAACCUGAAUUUGUGGACUUAACCUUUAUAUCGACAGCAGCAAGUUGCAUAAAAGAUCUUCUUUUGCUUCUAAUGAUAUUUCUGAUGAAACUUUCAUUUUCCUGAGCUUCUUAGUGCUGAAAAUCUGGAUAUCCGAGCUGAUUAGUCUGUUCUUAUAAUGAGUAUCAAAGAUCAUACUCACUGAGGAAGCUCCUUGACCAUGUGAGAGCACUUGAUAGACAUUGCAACAUGGUUCUCGAAAAAUGGCAGGGAGAUGUGGACUGAGGUAGCAAAAACUGGAAAAGGCAAGAAAAAGGCUCAACCAGUUAACAAAGAUAGAUUCAUUAGUAAGAUGUAUGGUGGCAUUGGCCGCUAUGAAGAUAUGCAGAAAUCGAUGCUUAAAAUCGUAGUGCUUGGUUGGGAAUUUAACCACCCUUUUUAGAACAACUUUCCGGUGGUAUACUUUGUACAUCCCCUCUGACCAAAAAAAACAAAGUCAGUUUGAAUUGGAAUGGCCGCUUUUGCGGCUCUAUUCUAUCAGAAGGAUUAGUUUUGAGACAAUUUAAGCACUGUUGUUGU